AUGCACGCUGGCGGCGUGCCUAAUACAUGCAAGUCGAACGAAACUUCUUUAUCACCGAGUGCUUGCACUCACCGAUAAAGAGUUGAGUGGCGAACGGGUGAGUAACACGUGGGCAACCUGCCCAAAAGAGGGGGAUAACACUUGGAAACAGGUGCUAAUACCGCAUAACCAUAGUUACCGCAUGGUAACUAUGUAAAAGGUGGCUAUACUACCGCUUUUGGAUGGGCCCGCGGCGCAUUAGCUAGUUGGUAGGGUAAAGGCUUACCAAGGCAAUGAUGCGUAGCCGAAUUGAGAGGUUGAUCGGCCACAUUGGGACUGAGACACGGCCCAAACUCCUACGGGAGGCAGCAGUAGGGAAUCUUCCACAAUGGGCGAAAGCCUGAUGGAGCAACGCCGCGUGGGUGAAGAAGGUCUUCGGAUCGUAAAACCCUGUUGUUAGAGAAGAAAGUGCGUGAGAGUAACUGUUCACGUUUCGACGGUAUCUAACCAGAAAGCCACGGCUAACUACGUG
RNAcentral lists this ribosomal RNA (511 nucleotides) under uncultured bacterium. Its description in RNAcentral is "partial 16S ribosomal RNA". It matches the Rfam family "Bacterial small subunit ribosomal RNA", at positions 29 to 507 of the family's 1533-position model. The record is from RNAcentral.